UACGAAGGGGGCUAGCGUUGCUCGGAAUCACUGGGCGUAAAGCGCACGUAGGCGGCUUCUUAAGUCAGGGGUGAAAUCCUGGAGCUCAACUCCAGAACUGCCCUUGAUACUGAGGAGCUCGAGUCCGGGAGAGGUGAGUGGAACUCCGAGUGUAGAGGUGAAAUUCGUAGAUAUUCGGAAGAACACCAGUGGCGUAGGCGGCCGACUGGACUGUAACUGACGCUGAGGCGCGAAAGCGUGGGGAGCAAACAGG
Molecule: ribosomal RNA, 253 nt
Filed under: uncultured bacterium
Lineage: Bacteria
Description: partial 16S ribosomal RNA
Rfam family: Bacterial small subunit ribosomal RNA
Source: RNAcentral